UAGGGAUAAGGGGUGCCACCAUCAGGUGGCCGCAGAGAAUAGGCCCAAGCGACUGUUUACCAAAAACAUAGGUUUCUGCUAAGUCGCAAGACGAUGUAUAGGAGCUGACGCCUGCCCGGUGCUGGAAGGUUAAGGGGAUCUGUUAGAGCAAUCGAAGCAGGGAACUUAAGCCCCAGUAAACGGCGGCCGUAACUAUAACGGUCCUAAGGUAGCGAAAUUCCUUGUCGGGUAAGUGCCGACCCGCACGAAAGGCGUAACGAUUUGGGCACUGUCUCAACAACAGACUCGGUGAAAUUGUAAUUCCGGUGAAGAUGCCGGAUACCUGCGACAGGACGGAAAGACCCCAUGGAGCUUUACUGUAGCUUGACAUU
RNAcentral lists this ribosomal RNA (371 nucleotides) under Clostridioides difficile. RNAcentral describes it as "bacterial LSU rRNA". It matches the Rfam family "Bacterial large subunit ribosomal RNA", at positions 1736 to 2118 of the family's 2925-position model. Lineage: Bacteria; Bacillati; Bacillota; Clostridia; Peptostreptococcales; Peptostreptococcaceae. The record is from RNAcentral.